UAGGGAAUCUUCGGCAAUGGGGGCAACCCUGACCGAGCAACGCCGCGUGAGUGAAGAAGGUUUUCGGAUCGUAAAGCUCUGUUGUAAGUCAAGAACGAGUGUGAGAGUGGAAAGUUCACACUGUGACGGUAGCUUACCAGAAAGGGACGGCUAACUACGUGCCAGCAGCCGCGGUAAUACGUAGGUCCCGAGCGUUGUCCGGAUUUAUUGGGCGUAAAGCGAGCGCAGGCGGUUUGAUAAGUCUGAAGUUAAAGGCUGUGGCUCAACCAUAGUUCGCUUUGGAAACUGUCAAACUUGAGUGCAGAAGGGGAGAGUGGAAUUCCAUAUGUAGCGGUGAAAUGCGUAGAUAUAUGGAGGAACACCGGUGGCGAAAGCGGCUCUCUGGUCUGUAACUGACGCUGAGGCUCGAAAGCGUGGGGAGCGAACAGGAUUAGAUACCCUGGUAGUCCACGCCGUAAACGAUGAGUGCUAGGUGUUGGAUCCUUUCCGGGAUUCAGUGCCNNNGNCAACGCAUUAAGCACUCCGCCUGGGGAGUACGACNNNNNGGUUG
Molecule: ribosomal RNA, 550 nt
Filed under: uncultured bacterium
Lineage: Bacteria
Description: bacterial SSU rRNA
Rfam family: Bacterial small subunit ribosomal RNA
Source: RNAcentral